GGGCGAGUAGCUCAGGGGUGAGAGCAUCCGCCUUACAAGCGGAGGGUCGCAGGUUCGAGUCCUGCCUCGCCCA
This 73-nucleotide transfer RNA is filed under the name Thermoflexus hugenholtzii JAD2. RNAcentral describes it as "tRNA_Val_TAC". It matches the Rfam family "tRNA". From Rfam's summary of the family: Transfer RNA (tRNA) molecules are approximately 80 nucleotides in length. Their secondary structure includes four short double-helical elements and three loops (D, anti-codon, and T loops). The record is from RNAcentral. Lineage: Bacteria; Bacillati; Chloroflexota; Thermoflexia; Thermoflexales; Thermoflexaceae. RNAcentral also lists the same sequence under 7 other names.